GGACAUCAGCAUAUUUUACUAGAUACUUCAUGUCAUUAACCAUCUAAGAGCUUACCGUGAAUCCAGUGUGAACUCUGCUGGACUCUACUAGCAGUAUUGAGCUUAUAUCCAAACUUCACUACUAUUGAGGAGAGAAAUAGAUACAACGUAUUCUUACCUGUAUCUCUUCCUCCUUAACUGUGGUGAACCCCCUCUUUACAUCUCAUUGUCCGCACCUGCUAAAAUCAAGUGGAUCUGGCCUCCGCUGAUUGAAAGUGCAGCAUCCAAUAUCUCCUGUCCGCAUCAGGUUCGCCUUCGCUAUUUUUCUUGGCAGCUCCUCUUGGUUCUGCCAGGUUCUUUGAGCUCUUUAAACAUAAUUGGUAAGCGCACUAUAUUCUCUUAUUCUUAUUUUAUUAAUUGUAUAUGUGUUGAACACUUAUUUACAAAGUUUAAAGAUACUACAUUGACCCUACCUGAAUUAAUAAUGAACCUUUGUGUCAUACACAGACCACUACAUGUAAUUAAGGAACAGAAGUAUCAUGCAAGCCCUGAUGAAGCACAUCUAGUGCGAAA
Long non-coding RNA from Rana temporaria (common frog), 552 nucleotides. RefSeq lists it as uncharacterized. The transcript is spliced from 3 exons. NCBI's taxonomy places the organism in Eukaryota, Metazoa, Chordata, Amphibia, Anura, Ranidae. The record is from RefSeq and is a predicted model, not a curated record.